GUAACUUUUACUAAAAUGGUAACAUCUAAUGUUCCCUUUAAGCUCCCCAUGGACUGGUGCACAUAAUAAAGCCCGCUCAGAGAAACACAAGUUUGAACCUCACUCAACAUUCAGGAGUUUUCCCUGUUAGUUAACACCACCAAUGUUUUUCUUUACUGUGAGAAUUGUGAUCGAAUCAAUGUAAUAUUAGCCACGUUUAGUGCAACAUACCGAAACAAAAACAAACUAUGCAAGACGAAGUAUGCAAAACGAACUAUGCAAGCGAUUUUGUUGUAGGCAGAAAGCAUCAGAGUAGGAUUCUAUUGCAUUGACAGGCACGGCUCAGGCCCAUACUCUAUACAGACCCGCGCGCCAUAAGCAAUCAGAGCUGCAGUAGGCCUAUAAGCAAAUAGACUAAUAGACCAUUGCAAAAUAAACCUGUGCCAUUCACUUUGAACUGGACUGUGUUUACAGAAUGAGCGGUCAUGAGUAGAUGCGCUUGUUUUGAGAUCAAAGCGAGCCACUUGUGCACAUUUGUGCUAGUUAGUGAGUUAUUAGCCCAGUUAAAGACAAUUUGUAGUCCACAACAGCCUACUUGACCACUGUUAAUACUGUAACUUAAAACGCGCACAACCUCUGUGUUCACAGUAAACGUGCUGGAAGUUGCACAAAAUAUUCACAACAUUUAAAUUUGUGCUUAGCAGGCCUGAAAUUUGCUCAUUGCUGGAAAAAAAUUGAGGGAACAUUGGUAACAUCUAUAUUAAAAUACCAUAACCCACAUACUUGACUAUAGUAAUGCUAAAAUAGACUAGGCUUUGGUCUAUCUGCACAUCUAAAAUCAUACUAUAUGGAUGGGACAUUUCUGCCGGGAUGGGGGAAUUAUCUGGAAUGCUCAACUAGAUGAUCAGGACAGUCUAGGGUAAUAUUUGCCCGAAGAGGUGAAGUAUUGCAAUAAGCUAUACGACUGUACUUCUGAUUUGAAUUCUCAAGAGGAAAGUUAAAGCCCUCGGCCUGAAGAAACUGUGGAGGAGCAACAGUUAUAGGGGGAUUGUCUGAAAGGGACUGACAUGCAGGGAUGGAACGGGCUAGGCGUCCCGCUAGCAGGGCAACUUCCGGUGAAACUGGAGGGCGCGUAAUUCAAAUAAAUAAUCAUACAAAUUAUGGAUAUUAAACAUUCAGGUACAUAUAAGUGUCUUAUAUUGGUUGAAAUCUUAAAUUCUUGUUAAUCUAACUGCGCUGUCUGAUUUACAGUAGCUAUUACAGCGAAAACAUGCCAUGCGAUUGUUUGAGGACAGCGCCACAUCAAAAUAUUUUUCCACCGGCACAGGUUUCAUAAAUUCACAAAUAGCGAUUAAAUAUUCACUUACUUUUUGAAAAUCUUCCUCUGAUUUGUCAUCCAAAGUGUCCCAGCUAUAACAUGUAGUGUCGUUUUGUUAGAUAAAAUCCCUCUUUAUAUCCCAAAAAGUCAGUUUAGUUGGCGCCAUCGAUUUGAGUAACCCACUCGUUCAACAUGUAGAGAAAGGAAUCCGAAAAUCUAAACUUUGUUUCAACAAGUCAAAAUACGUUUCUAUUUACUCCUCAGAUACCCUAAAAUGUAAUAUUUCUUACAGAAGGAAGUAUGUUCAAUAGCAAUCCGAUUUUAGCAGGUGCGUCCUGUCUUCGAGGCGCCCGCAAACACGAAUUUCCAAGACUGUGUCCUACUACUAAAACUGUUAUUUCUUAUUCAUUUUUGAAGUUACACGCCUGAAACCUUGAACAUAGACUGCUGACACCCUGUGGAAGCCAUAGGAAUUGCAUCCAGGAAGCUAAUCUUAUAAGAGGAUGGUCUCUCAAAAAAUUAUUUCCAGAAGGUUUUCUUAGAAUUUUCUCCUACCAUAUCUAUUGUGUUAUAUUCGCCUGCGUUAUUUUAACAUUUCUACAAACUUCAAAGUGUUUUCUUUCCAAUGGUACCAAUUAUAUGCAUAUCCUGGCUUCAGGGCCUGAGCAACAGGCAGUUUACUCUGGGCGCGUCAUUCAGGCGGAAAUUGAGAAAAAAGGUGCCUAGCCCUAAGAAGAUAAGGAUUUAGCCAGCAGACCACGAUUUCUACUAGCCUGGUCGCAAAAACCAUCAAGCACUGUGAUGAAACUGGCUGUCAUGAGGACUGCCACAGGAAUGGAAGUCCCAGAGUUACCUCUGUUGCAGAGGAUAAAUUAAUUCGAGUUACCAGCCUCAGAAAUUGCAGCCCAAAUAAGUGCUUCAGAGUUCAAGUAACAGACACAUCUCAACAUCAACUGUUCAGAGGAGCCUGUGUGAAUCAGGCCUUCAUAGUUGAAUGCUGCAAAGAAACCACUUCUAAAGGACACCAAUAAGAAGAAGAGACUUGCUUGGGCCAAGAAACACGAGCAAUGGACAUAAGACCGGUGGACAUUUUUUCUUUGGUCUGGAGUCGAAAUUGGCCCCGAGAGUAAUGUUGGGGUCCAGAAUGUCGACCACUGGAACCCAACAGUGCUCCUCUUGGCCAUAACCCUCCCAGUCCACCAGGUGCUGGAGCUGACCCCCACGACCCAGCUCCUGGUUGGUCCUCUCCACCUACCCGUUGGACUUGGCCAGUACCCUGUGUAAGGGAAAGCAGGUCUUCCAGCAUCCUGGUACCAAGGCAGUGAUUUUAUGACGUUGGAGCCACGGGACACCCAGGAUGAUUUUGUGAAUGGGUGCAGUGAUGAUGAGGAAGGGAAGGCAUUCUUGGUGCAAGGGUCCCACAGUGAGGGUGAGUGGUGCUGUGAUGUGCGUGAUAGUGUCGGAUCCCAAUGGUCGAUUAUCCAGGGCUUGGACCAGAAAAGGAGAGGAGAGCAGGUCUGAGGUGAUGUUCAGGGAGGAGACGAGGGUCUGAUCGAUGAAAUUCCAUUUCCACAACAGCUGUAGAGACAACACCAGCCAGUAAAAUGGAAACCAGGAAGGAUUGGCAGAAAACGAUGAAGAAGGAAUACUUACGCCUACCCUGGGAGACGGAUGAUCAAGGGGCAUUCCAUCCAGCGGACGGAAUGAAGCGGCGCUCCGUACACUACUCCGAAGGGGGCUGCGCGAGGAGGUCCAAAUGGAACUGACAUGUCAGGACGACGAUCUCUCCUUGGACGCACUCAUCGUGAUGGCCAUCCGGUUGGAUAAUCUACUUCAGGAGCGUCGGUAUCCACAUCACUUCUCUCCCUCCCUCAGUGAACAAUCUGUAGCAGAGCCUGGACUUAUGGAGGCUUCAGCAGUGUCCAAUACAUCCCAACUCAGGAUCCACGAGAGCAGUGGGACGGUCACGUGAUCUUCCAUCUCCAGGGGCAGUGUGUCCUGGGUUAUCAGCCGGCCCUGGCUCCGUGGACUCUGAGCCAGACCGAGGCCCCUGGGGUGUACGAAUGGUUCCGGCACUCAGAAGAGGUUUGGAGUGAUGCUCAUGUGAGGCUCCAGCGUGCCGUCCAUCGCCAGAUGGAGCUGUCCAGAGGUUUGACAUCGCUGGUUUUUACUAACCAUCGGUCCUGGCAUUCAUCAUUACGCGCACCUGGCAUUCAUCAUUUCACUGAUUACUUCCCCAAUAUCUGUCACUCCCGUAGUUCUAUUCCCCAUGCAGUAUUGACUAUGUGUUCCAUAUUUGUACGCUACUCGUGUUUCUUGUAUUGUUCCAUUUAUUAUUAAACUCACCCCUGCACUUGCUUACCAACUCCCAGCAUCUACGUUACAGCACCACUAUGGAAGUUACUCGAAUCUGGCUUAUUGUGAGGUCAAUAACUCUGGUAAAUACAUCAUGGCAAGAAACAUAUUGUUUUUAAUCAAAUCAAUUGUAGUACUAGCAAGCUAUCAAAUUUCUCAUCUUCGCACUCUCCUUCUUAAAUUGAACAGAACAUAGGCUAUAGGCUAGUCCAUGUUCUGGACUAGGCCUAAUCAAAACCUAUUUUUGGAAGAAAACUUUGACUGCCACGUAGACCUACACAGGUUAGGCAGCACACAAAAAAGUUUUUGAUCAGCAAGAGCAGAGCAAGCCUGGCCUCAGGGUUGGAAUAUCCAUUGCAGUGUGCAAUGCAGCCUAGUUUUAUU
This 4036-nucleotide long non-coding RNA is filed under the name Salmo salar (Atlantic salmon). RNAcentral's name for it is "lncRNA (ENSSSAG00000087534.1, ENSSSAG00000103037.1)". The record is from RNAcentral. Lineage: Eukaryota; Metazoa; Chordata; Actinopteri; Salmoniformes; Salmonidae.